UUGAAUACUAUAUAACCAAGUUUUAACGCUCGAUAAGACAUGCAUAAUAUAUUACACAUAUGCAGGGUCAUGCGGAUGUACUGAAGUUGCCAACCUUGAUGAUUUAUAAUUUCUGUGAAUAGAAGUUGCCUUCUGGCCUAAUACGGACACUAAAGCUAUUCUAUCUGCUGGUUUCAUAUUUUUCUUUCAGGACAAUUUAGUUCAUUGAAAUCUGUUUUCUUCACUGCGUUUCUACUUUCUUAGUUAAGGAAAUCCAUCUCCAUGCUUUCAUGGUCUAUUAGACUAUAACUAACUAGCAACUAAAACGUACUGCAUGUAAAGAACUGAGACGUUUAAGAGGCAUAUAUCUUCCCUUCUCGAAUCUAGAGGGUUUACUUGAAAUUAGGAGUGUGGCUGUAAGAUUUGAGGAAAAGGUGUAUGCUGCUGCAUCAAGCCAGUAGGAUUAUUACGAAAAAUAUCUAGAAGUCAUGGAAGAACUGUUCAGGUGGUGUCAAAAGGAAAAAAGGAAACAUUUGAUUAAACAAUGGAAAUAAAAGCCCAGCCUAUGCAGAAGCCCACUAGGGGUACAACAGAAAACAAAAUACAACCUUUAAUUAGUGCUAAAUCCACAAGAAAAGUCCCUGGUCCAGUUCUUUAUACAAAUGCAGGAUUCGUCUGCAAUUAUAGAAAUGAAGUAAAGGUGACCAAGAAGUUAGUAAAGUGCACAGCAGAGUUCUACUUCUUCAUUUGAUUCAGUUAACCUGUGUCUUCCUCCACCUCUCUGAAGAUUCAGUGAUCAGUGGCCUCCACAGGGUGGAGAAGCCUUGAAUGGCUCCGGCAAUUGGAGAAUCUACUUGAUGCCAGAUUCAAGGCAAAGAAUUGUCAGAAGAUAACUGAUGUGUUGAAGAGGCAUCUUCCCUUCUCUGGCCAAGAGGGGUUACUUGAACGGCAGAGAAUUGCUGCAAGGUUCGAGGAUAAGUUGUAUGCUACUGCAUCAAGCCAGUCAGAUUAUCUACGAAAAAUUUCUCUGAAGUUGCUUGCCAUUGAGACCUCGGGAGUUGCAACAAGUCCCCCCUCCAACCUGAAAUGGCAUCGUGCCCUUGCUUUUGAAAGAGACUAAUGCAAGUUCUGUAACUUGUCCUAUUUGAAGUUGAUAAUAUUACUGUUCUUGUGAAAUAAGAAGAAAACUCGGAGCUUCUGAAACUGGAGUGAUUAUUGUAUAAUAGCACGAAACAAUUCCUUAGCGGUUUGUAAUAUCUCUGAAUAUUGAAGUACUUUAGAGCUACAUGCAAA
Rosa rugosa (rugosa rose) is the source of this 1272-nucleotide long non-coding RNA. RefSeq lists it as uncharacterized. The record is from RefSeq and is a predicted model, not a curated record. The transcript is spliced from 5 exons. Lineage: Eukaryota; Viridiplantae; Streptophyta; Magnoliopsida; Rosales; Rosaceae.